CCUACGGGGGACAGCAGUGAGGAAUAUUGGUCAAUGGACGCAAGUCUGAACCAGCCAUGCCGCGUGCAGGAUGACGGCUCUAUGAGUUGUAAACUGCUUUUGUCCGAGGGUAAACCCCGAUACGUGUGUCUCGUUGAGAGUAUCCUACGAAUAAGGAUCGGCUAACUCCGUGCCAGCAGCCGCGGUAAUACGGAGGAUCCGAGCGUUAUCCGGAUUUAUUGGGUUUAAAGGGUGCGUAGGCGGUUUGAUGGGUUAGAGGUGAAAUGUCGGGGCUCAACCCCGAAACUGCCUCUAAUACUGUAGGACUAGAGAAUAGUUGCGGUAGGCGGAAUGUAUGGUGUAGCGGUGAAAUGCUUAGAGAUCAUACAGAACACCGAUUGCGAAGGCAGCUUACCAAACUAUAUCUGACGUUGAGGCACGAAAGCGUGGGUAGCAAACAGGAUUAGAUACCCGUGUAGUC
This 460-nucleotide ribosomal RNA is filed under the name uncultured bacterium. RNAcentral describes it as "partial 16S ribosomal RNA". It matches the Rfam family "Bacterial small subunit ribosomal RNA", at positions 338 to 795 of the family's 1533-position model. The record is from RNAcentral.